UACGGAGGAUGCGAGCGUUAUCCGGAAUCAUUGGGUUUAAAGGGUGCGUAGGCGGAUUAAUAAGUCAGUGGUGAAAUAUCCCGGCUCAACCGGGAGGCUGCCAUUGAUACUGUUAGUCUUGAGUGUAAGUGAAGUGGGCGGAAUGUGUCAUGUAGCGGUGAAAUGCAUAGAGAUGACACAGAACACCGAUAGCGAAGGCAGCUCACUAAUAUACAACUGACGCUGAGGCACGAAAGCGUGGGGAUCAAACAGG
This 253-nucleotide ribosomal RNA is filed under the name uncultured bacterium. RNAcentral describes it as "partial 16S ribosomal RNA". It matches the Rfam family "Bacterial small subunit ribosomal RNA", at positions 524 to 776 of the family's 1533-position model. The record is from RNAcentral.